GAUGAACGCUGGCGGCGUGCUUAACACAUGCAAGUCGAGCGAAGCAAUUUGAAUGAGACUUCGGUGGAUUUUAAAUUGACUGAGCGGCGGACGGGUGAGUAACGCGUGGAUAACCUGCCUCACACAGGGGGAUAACAGUUAGAAAUGACUGCUAAUACCGCAUAAGCGCACGGUACCGCAUGGUACAGUGUGAAAAACUCCGGUGGUGUGAGAUGGAUCCGCGUCUGAUUAGGUAGUUGGUGAGGUAACGGCCCACCAAGCCGACGAUCAGUAGCCGACCUGAGAGGGUGACCGGCCACAUUGGGACUGAGACACGGCCCAAACUCCUACGGGAGGCAGCAGUGGGGAAUAUUGCACAAUGGGCGAAAGCCUGUUACAGCAACGCCGCGUGAGUGAAGAAGUAUCUCGGUAUGUAAAGCUCUAUCAGCAGGGAAGAAAAUGACGGUACCUGACUAAGAAGCCCCGGCUAACUACGUGCCAGCAGCCGCGGUAAUACGUAGGGGGCAAGCGUUAUCCGGAUUUACUGGGUGUAAAGGGAGCGCAGACGGCACUGCAAGUCUGAAGUGAAAGCCCGGGGCUCAACCCCGGGACUGCUUUGGAAACUGUAGAGCUAGAGUGCUGGAGAGGCAAGCGGAAUUCCUAGUGUAGCGGUGAAAUGCGUAGAUAUUAGGAAGAACACCAGUGGCGAAGGCGGCUUGCUGGACAGUAACUGACGUUCAGGCUCGAAAGCGUGGGGAGCAAACAGGACUAGAUACCCUGGUAGUCCACGCCGUAA
RNAcentral lists this ribosomal RNA (775 nucleotides) under uncultured bacterium. RNAcentral's name for it is "bacterial SSU rRNA". It matches the Rfam family "Bacterial small subunit ribosomal RNA", at positions 28 to 805 of the family's 1533-position model. The record is from RNAcentral.